This 429-nucleotide ribosomal RNA is filed under the name Bacteroidota bacterium. RNAcentral's name for it is "Bacteroidetes bacterium partial 16S ribosomal RNA". It matches the Rfam family "Bacterial small subunit ribosomal RNA", at positions 355 to 776 of the family's 1533-position model. Lineage: Bacteria; Pseudomonadati; Bacteroidota. The record is from RNAcentral.
UAGGGAAUCUUCCGCAAUGGACGCAAGUCUGACGGAGCAACGCCGCGUGAGUGAAGAAGGAUUUCGGUUCGUAAAACUCUGUUGUUAGAGAAGAACAGCGCAUAGAGUAACUGUUAUGCGUGUGACGGUAUCUAACCAGAAAGCCACGGCUAACUACGUGCCAGCAGCCGCGGUAAUACGUAGGUGGCAAGCGUUGUCCGGAUUUAUUGGGCGUAAAGCGAGCGCAGGCGGUCAAUUAAGUCUGAUGUGAAAGCCCCCGGCUCAACCGGGGAGAGUCAUUGGAAACUGGUUGACUUGAGUGCAGAAGAGGAGAGUGGAAUUCCAUGUGUAGCGGUGAAAUGCGUAGAUAUAUGGGGGAACACCAGUGGCGAAGGCGACUCUCUGGUCUGUAACUGACGCUGAGGUUCGAAAGCGUGGGUAGCAAACAGG